UUGUGAGUGUGUUCCAGUUCCUGCCGAUAUCCUGCAACUUCACACAGCCACUGAAGACUGGACCAACAUUCCACAAUCAACAACCUAAUCAACUCUACUCAAAGGAGAUGUGUUGCACUGUGCAACGGACACCUCGACAUGAGCUCGAUCGGGCCAGGAUCGAACCAACAACCCUUGGGCUUCAGGACAACCACUCUACCCACUGAGCCUUGCCG
Molecule: long non-coding RNA, 215 nt
Organism: Melanotaenia boesemani (Boeseman's rainbowfish)
Lineage: Eukaryota; Metazoa; Chordata; Actinopteri; Atheriniformes; Melanotaeniidae
Exons: 2
Source: RefSeq, a predicted model, not a curated record